ACACAUUCAAGCACGGCUUGGUGUUGGGCGUCUGUCCUCACGGACUCGCCUCAAAAUUAUUGGCAGCCACUUCAGCGGCUUUGAGCGCAGCAGAAUUGCGUCUCUGGCGGCGAGAGGUGGCAUCCAAAAAGCUUCUUUUUACA
This 143-nucleotide unclassified non-coding RNA is filed under the name uncultured Lophiostoma. RNAcentral's name for it is "sequence contains ITS2". The record is from RNAcentral. Lineage: Eukaryota; Fungi; Ascomycota; Dothideomycetes; Pleosporales; Lophiostomataceae.